GACGAACGCUGGCGGCGUGCUUAACACAUGCAAGUCGAACGGAAAGGCCCUGCUUUUGUGGGGUGCUCGAGUGGCGAACGGGUGAGUAACACGUGAGUAACCUGCCCUUGACUUUCGGAUAACUUCAGGAAACUGGGGCUAAUACCGGAUAGGAGCUCCUGCUGCAUGGUGGGGGUUGGAAAGUUUCGGCGGUUGGGGAUGGACUCGCGGCUUAUCAGCUUGUUGGUGGGGUAGUGGCUUACCAAGGCUUUGACGGGUAGCCGGCCUGAGAGGGUGACCGGCCACAUUGGGACUGAGAUACGGCCCAGACUCCUACGGGAGGCAGCAGUGGGGAAUAUUGCACAAUGGGCGGAAGCCUGAUGCAGCAACGCCGCGUGCGGGAUGACGGCCUUCGGGUUGUAAACCGCUUUCGCCUGUGACGAGGCGUGAGUGACGGUAAUGGGUAAAGAAGCACCGGCUAACUACGUG
Molecule: ribosomal RNA, 468 nt
Filed under: uncultured bacterium
Lineage: Bacteria
Description: partial 16S ribosomal RNA
Rfam family: Bacterial small subunit ribosomal RNA
Source: RNAcentral